Molecule: non-coding RNA, 486 nt
Filed under: Ovis aries (sheep)
Lineage: Eukaryota; Metazoa; Chordata; Mammalia; Artiodactyla; Bovidae
Description: Eukaryotic large subunit ribosomal RNA
Rfam family: Eukaryotic large subunit ribosomal RNA
Source: Rfam by way of RNAcentral
GAGCCCACCUAGCUCUUGUCUGAUCGUUGUUUUCACUGACUUGGUGAGUUGGGGUGGGGUGGGCGGUGAGCCCAAAGGGGUUCUCACUUCUGGCGUCAAGGGACAAUGCCAGGUGGGGAGUUUGACUGGGGCGGCGGUACACCUGUCAAACGGUAACACAGGUGUCCUGAGGCGAGCUUAGGGAGGACAGAAACCUCUUGUGGGGCAGAAAGGCUAAAGCUCUCUUGAUCUUGAUUUUCAGUAUUAACGCAGACUGUGAAAGGGGGGCCUCACAAUCCUUCUGAUCUUUGGGGUUUUAAGCAGGAAGUGUCAGAAAAGUUACCACAGGGAUAACUGGCUUGUGGCAGCCAAGUGUUCACAGCGACGACGUUGUGUUUUGAUCCUUCAAUGUCAGCUCUUCCUAUCAUUGUGAAGCCGAAUUCACCAAGUGUUGAAUUGUUCACCCACUAAUAGGGAAUGUGAGCUCUUGCCUCAGGAAAGGCUGUU